GAAACGAUGGCUAAUACCGCAUAAUACCUUCGGGUCAAAGAGGGGGACCUUCGGGCCUCUCGCGUCAGGAUAUGCCUAGGUGGGAUUAGCUAGUUGGUGAGGUAAUGGCUCACCAAGGCGACGAUCCCUAGCUGGUCUGAGAGGAUGAUCAGCCACACUGGAACUGAGACACGGUCCAGACUCCUACGGGAGGCAGCAGUGGGGAAUAUUGCACAAUGGGCGCAAGCCUGAUGCAGCCAUGCCGCGUGUGUGAAGAAGGCCUUCGGGUUGUAAAGCACUUUCAGUCGUGAGGAAGGUGGUAGUGUUAAUAGCACUAUCAUUUGACGUUAGCGACAGAAGAAGCACCGGCUAACUCCGUGCCAGCAGCCGCGGUAAUACGGAGGGUGCGAGCGUUAAUCGGAAUUACUGGGCGUAAAGCGCAUGCAGGUGGUUUGUUAAGUCAGAUGUGAAAGCCCGGGGCUCAACCUCGGAAUAGCAUUUGAAACUGGCAGACUAGAGUACUGUAGAGGGGGGUAGAAUUUCAGGUGUAGCGGUGAAAUGCGUAGAGAUCUGAAGGAAUACCGGUGGCGAAGGCGGCCCCCUGGACAGAUACUGACACUCAGAUGCGAAAGCGUGGGGAGCAAACAGGAUUAGAUACCCUGGUAGUCCACGCCGUAAACGAUGUCUACUUGGAGGUUGUGGCCUUGAGCCGUGGCUUUCGGAGCUAACGCGUUAAGUAGACCGCCUGGGGAGUACGGUCGCAAGAUUAAAACUCAAAUGAAUUGACGGGGGCCCGCACAAGCGGUGGAGCAUGUGGUUUAAUUCGAUGCAACGCGAAGAACCUUACCUACUCUUGACAUCCAGAGAACUUUCCAGAGAUGGAUUGGUGCCUUCGGGAACUCUGAGACAGGUGCUGCAUGGCUGUCGUCAGCUCGUGUUGUGAAAUGUUGGGUUAAGUCCCGCAACGAGCGCAACCCUUAUCCUUGUUUGCCAGCACUUCGGGUGGGAACUCCAGGGAGACUGCCGGUGAUAAACCGGAGGAAGGUGGGGACGACGUCAAGUCAUCAUGGCCCUUACGAGUAGGGCUACACACGUGCUACAAUGGCGCAUACAGAGGGCGGCCAACUUGCGAGAGUGAGCGAAUCCCAAAAAGUGCGUCGUAGUCCGG
This 1147-nucleotide ribosomal RNA is filed under the name Vibrio harveyi. RNAcentral describes it as "bacterial SSU rRNA". It matches the Rfam family "Bacterial small subunit ribosomal RNA", at positions 153 to 1296 of the family's 1533-position model. Lineage: Bacteria; Pseudomonadati; Pseudomonadota; Gammaproteobacteria; Vibrionales; Vibrionaceae. The record is from RNAcentral.